RNAcentral lists this ribosomal RNA (358 nucleotides) under uncultured bacterium. RNAcentral's name for it is "bacterial SSU rRNA". It matches the Rfam family "Bacterial small subunit ribosomal RNA", at positions 32 to 368 of the family's 1533-position model. The record is from RNAcentral.
AAUCAACGCUGGCGGCGUGCCUCAGACAUGCAAGUCGAACGCGAAAUUUCCCUUCGGGGAGAAAGUAGAGUGGCGCACGGGUGAGUAACACGUAGGUAAUUUGCCUUUGGGUGGGGAAUAACUCAGGGAAACUUGAGCUAAUACCGCAUAAUGCAGCGGCUCGACAUCGAGACAGUUGUUAAAGCGGGGGAGUCGCAAGACCUCGCGCCUAAAGAGAAGCCUGCGGCAGAUUAGCUAGUUGGUAAGGUAAUGGCUUACCAAGGCGACGAUCUGUAACCGGCCUGAGAGGGCGGUCGGUCACACUGACACUGACAUACGGGUCAGACUCCUACGGGAGGCAGCAGUCGGGAAUUUUGGG